RNAcentral lists this long non-coding RNA (862 nucleotides) under Sorghum bicolor (sorghum). RNAcentral's name for it is "long non-coding RNA (SBIC_LNC003798)". Lineage: Eukaryota; Viridiplantae; Streptophyta; Magnoliopsida; Poales; Poaceae. The record is from RNAcentral.
GGCUAUAGUCUUCGAUUUGGUUUUGAGUACUGAAAAAUUUGGGUCACCGGGGUUUCCUCUUUUUUCUUUUAUUUAAUAUAAAUUGGGGGUUAAUUGACGAAAUUACUUGGAUUUGAAGUACAAUAAUUGUUGGAUUUUGGCUAAACAUUCAAAUUUAGGCGGUCUAUUUCCUAGUAUCUAUCGAACCAGUGAGAAUUUUGAGUAAUCGUUGGGUUCUCUCCCUGUUCGUGCAGGUUCUCGAGCUGGCCGGGAACGCGGCUCGUGACAACAAGAAGACCCGCAUCGUUCCGCGCCACAUCCAGCUCGCCGUCCGCAACGACGAGGAGCUCUCCCGCCUGCUGGGCACGGUGACCAUCGCUAGCGGCGGUGUCAUGCCCAACAUCCAUAACCUGCUGCUCCCCAAGAAGUCCGGCGGCGGUAGCGCCAAGGCUGCUGCUGGUGAUGAGGACUAGAUCCCUGACCACGCCUUUCUUCCGGUGGUGGCACUUCCUGUGGGUGCGGCCGUAUCAACUUGUGCUUGUGUAGUAGUACGUUCUAGACUUGCCUUAGGUGUUGUGUUGGGGGAUGUGUUCCUGUGUACCGCUGCUAAACUAGGUUACUCUUGUGCUUGCUAAGGAUUAGUUCUGUAUUUGUUGCUAUAAACGGUGCAUCCUUUGGAUGACUGGUUGAUCAAACCUGGUAUUCCAAUUUACAGUUUGUGUUGGAUGGGUUCAAAUUUUUGGUCAGUCCAGUUGAAAAUUCUGAAAUGUUGUGCUGUGCAGUUUUGAAAUUCAUUUCUGAGAUUGCCAUCGGAUCAUUGGAAGGAUAUGGUGACCUCUGCUAUGUGGAUUUGAUGUAUCAACUAUUGGUGAUUGUGCAUGUG